This 377-nucleotide ribosomal RNA is filed under the name uncultured bacterium. RNAcentral's name for it is "bacterial SSU rRNA". It matches the Rfam family "Bacterial small subunit ribosomal RNA", at positions 521 to 896 of the family's 1533-position model. The record is from RNAcentral.
UAAUACAGAGGUCCCAAGCGUUGUUCGGAUUCACUGGGCGUAAAGGGUGCGUAGGCGGUCGGGUAAGUCUGAUGUGAAAUCUCACAGCUUAACUGUGAAACUGCAUUGGAUACUAUUCGGCUUGAGAGUUGGAGGGGGGACUGGAAUUCUUGGUGUAGCAGUGAAAUGCGUAGAUAUCAAGAGGAACACCAGUGGCGAAGGCGAGUCCCUGGACAACUUCUGACGCUGAGGCACGAAAGCUAGGGGAGCAAACAGGAUUAGAUACCCUGGUAGUCCUAGCCGUAAACGGUGCUUAUUUGCUGUAAAAGGAAUCGACCCCUUUUGUGGCGUAGCAAACGCGUUAAAUAAGCCGCCUGGGAAGUACGGUCGCAAGAUUA